GCCACCAGUAAGCCAGUUAAAUACCGACAUGGACAAGAAAAAGACAUGGAAACUGUAGAAAAGAAGAUGAAAUACAAAGUUGAAAAAGGCUAAUUUAAAAGUAUGGAAUCAGAGAAGAAAAUGCCUAGAAGCCAAAUAUACAUUUAAUAAUGAAAAGUGAAAAAGACUGCAAAGUAUCGACAUGCACGCCCUAUAAACAGUGCUUCAAUACUGCAACCAUUUCUAUGAGUCCAAAUAAUGGAAUCAAAAAAAUAUGGAAAACAUGAUGUCUGCAAAAAAAAUCCAUGCAAAUAUAUUGUAUUGUUUAUUGAAAUUGUACAGCUAAAAUUAUGAAUAUUACAGAGAAUUGUUAGCAUAUCAUUCUAUAUAGAUUUGGUUGUGCUCAGUUUAUGCUUCAACUUACUCAGCCCAUAUAUGGAUCAGUUUUUUUUAUUCAACCAGCAGGUUUAAAGAAGAAAACAAACAAUAUCCCCCCACCCACACACACUUGAUGUGGGUGGAGGAAUCCUCCUACUGUGUCUUUGUAUUCUGACGGUGGGGGGACUUACACUCUGUCAGAAUGCAUUGAUCAGAAAAUCCAAUAAGGUGGUUCUACAGAAGUCAAUUGGUAGAUCUACUUAUUUAUAACCUCCCUGCACAUAUAUAGAUCAAAAUUUGGCCAGUCCCUGCUGAACUGGCAGAAUUCCAAUCCAUGUAUGGCUGCCUUUACUUUCAGCAAAUUUGAGUAAUCACAGCAUUAAAUGUAGGUUAAAUGGAGUGAGGACUGCAUUACACUCUACAGCACCCUCUAACAGGCUAGGUAACUGAAAUACAAUCACAGGUGAUAUAAUUUGCUGCUCAAUGAUUGCAGUAUUCUAGUCUGCAUCUCUUCAAGGUAAUACUUAAAGCGGAGGUUCACCCUCAUUUAUAGUCUACGUUAAUCACACGUUAUAAGUCUCUAUAUUUCAACUUUGCUGAUUAAAUUUUUUUUAAACGAUUCCAUACCUUGUUAGGACGUUCAGAACCAGGCACUUCCUGGUUUGGCUCCUGCGGGAGUGGGCGUGUCGCUUUAGCUGCAAUGGAUGCUAAUAGGAGGUGCCUGUCGUCACAACGGGGCGUGAACUUUUUAUUACGCCGGCCGUUGUGAUGGCAACGGAGAAGUGUUGACGGCGCUGCUUGCCGUCAACACGGCUCAUUCCCCCAGCUUCCCGGAAGCAUUUGCUUGUGGGCUUCACGCUGACCACAAGCAAAAUGGAAACAGCCAGCAUAAAAUUGUAUAAACACACAUUUGAUAUAGGUGGAGAAUGCUGGGUAGUAGAGAACUUAACUAUGUGAGUACUAUCUUUGGAAGAUCAAAAGAGUUUAAUGAACUUUAAACUUUAAAUUAAAACCCCCGCUUUAAUAUCUGGCCUGAUAGGGGAUCCUGAGGACAGGAGUUCAGAACCACUGCUCUACAAAAAAUGUAACCACCAGAAUAGGUUUAGGUACAAUCACUAAAAUCCAGAAUUUUGCCUGAUCUCCCAGGUAAAUAAAUCCAGUUAAGGCUAUGGUGUUAUGGGUAAACUGGUAACUCCUGUGGACUUCUAAUGCAGGACCCUGGCCAAUUUGCACUCAGAUUCUCAUGUCACACAGUCCCACCUCCUCGCCCUGUGAUGAUCACGUCACACAGUCCUCCUCACCAGGCAUUGGACCAGUAUUCUCUCUAUAAAAUGCACCGGGCAAGGAUGCGGGGCUGUGUGACGUGAGCAGCAAAGGGUGAGGAGGCGGGACUGUGUGACAGCGAGCACUGGGAACCCAGAAAUUCAUAUGAAAGCUGAAGAUCGGCCAGCUCGACUCUUCUUCCCCUCUCUUCCCAUAGCUGGGAUUACAGCUCCUGUUUAACCCCGCCUGCCAGAGGUACUCGUCCCCCUUCUCGGAGGUGUCCCAUGCUCGUCAGCCCUCAUUUUCUACUCGCAAAGUUUGAGUAGGUAAGUGGCAAAUUUGAGGGCUGUUAUAUACAGUAUAUAUAUAUAUAUAUAUAUAUAUAUAUAUAUAUUUAUAUAUAUAUAUAUCCCUAACGCAAUGAUCUUGCAUUGCUGUUUAGAGUUAUAAAACUGUGCUGCUAAUGGUGUCUUGCAAGCAUCGUAAUGGGCUGUCAGGAUUUAUUUUUACCUAAAUCAUGUACCAUUAAAGAAAAUAAUGUAAACCAUUUUACAGUUACACAGGCUGUUCUCUCAAUGUACAUUAAUGAAUGUAUAUAGCCUUAGGAAGAAAUAAACUGACACUUCUCAAUAAUGGAUGUUCAUGUCCAUAAAGUAUGUAAAGUUAAACAGUAAUUAAAACUAAUCACUGACUAUUUUAAUCAGUGAAUGUCAGGAAUGGCAUUAUCAUAGUAGCAAUCUCAGUACAGCACUUAUGCAGUAAGCCUCUGUAGAUAAGUCAAGAUGGUGUGAUGGAUGGCAAUUAUGUCUCCAGGCAAUAUUCUUCUUAGUUGCAUGAUUCAGGAAAUGCAGCACUAUCUAUAUAUUUAUUAUAGAUUUUUUUCAGCUUCUCGGCUCCUUUCAUUACAUUUUACUUUUCUCCAUGUUCAAAAUGAUUUUGAAAUAUUAAUCCUCAAAGUAUAGCAUCUGUACUCAAGGAUGUCCCUAGAUCAUCUUCUCUUUGUUAAUAUAUCAAUAUCUACUUGUUUGUUUACAAUUUCUCCAAACAAGGGUGGUAUCUAUGUAAUUCUUACAGUUUUAACUUUUACUUUAGUUUUCUUUCUUUAUCUAAAGUUUAACAGUACAAUGUUAACUGCUACUGGGUAUAUAUGCAUUUAAAGUACAGUCCUCUGUUAUAUCCUACUGGAACAAUUUAGCCUACUUCUUCUUAUAAUAAUGCUUUAGAUAAUUCA
Long non-coding RNA from Rana temporaria (common frog), 2851 nucleotides. RefSeq lists it as uncharacterized. Lineage: Eukaryota; Metazoa; Chordata; Amphibia; Anura; Ranidae. The transcript has 2 exons. The record is from RefSeq and is a predicted model, not a curated record.